GAGUUUGAUCCUGGCUCAGAUUGAACGCUGGCGGCAGGCCUAACACAUGCAAGUCGAGCGGUAGAGAGAAGCUUGCUUCUCUUGAGAGCGGCGGACGGGUGAGUAAUGCCUAGGAAUCUGCCUGGUAGUGGGGGAUAACGCUCGGAAACGGACGCUAAUACCGCAUACGUCCUACGGGAGAAAGCAGGGGACCUUCGGGCCUUGCGCUAUCAGAUGAGCCUAGGUCGGAUUAGCUAGUUGGUGAGGUAAUGGCUCACCAAGGCGACGAUCCGUAACUGGUCUGAGAGGAUGAUCAGUCACACUGGAACUGAGACACGGUCCAGACUCCUACGGGAGGCAGCAGUGGGGAAUAUUGGACAAUGGGCGAAAGCCUGAUCCAGCCAUGCCGCGUGUGUGAAGAAGGUCUUCGGAUUGUAAAGCACUUUAAGUUGGGAGGAAGGGCAGGUAAAUUAAUACUUUGCUGUUUUGACGUUUACCGACAGAAUAAGCACCGGCUAACUCUGUGCCAGCCGCCG
Molecule: ribosomal RNA, 515 nt
Filed under: uncultured bacterium
Lineage: Bacteria
Description: bacterial SSU rRNA
Rfam family: Bacterial small subunit ribosomal RNA
Source: RNAcentral